CAUUAGAUGACUGAAAAUAAGUACUGGAAUUUUAAACCAUUUUAUAAUAUAUUAAUAUAUAUUUCUAAUGA
This 71-nucleotide transfer RNA is filed under the name Chabria nr. angulicollis REN-2018. RNAcentral describes it as "tRNA-Lys". The record is from RNAcentral. Lineage: Eukaryota; Metazoa; Arthropoda; Insecta; Coleoptera; Chrysomelidae.